UACGAAGGGGGCUAGCGUUGUUCGGAAUUACUGGGCGUAAAGCGCACGUAGGCGGUCUUUUAAGUCGGGGGUGAAAUCCUGGAGCUCAACUCCAGAACUGCCUUCGAUACUGGAGGACUUGAGUCCGGGAGAGGUGAGUGGAACUGCGAGUGUAGAGGUGAAAUUCGUAGAUAUUCGCAAGAACACCAGUGGCGAAGGCGGCUCACUGGCCCGGUACUGACGCUGAGGUGCGAAAGCGUGGGGAGCAAACAGG
This 253-nucleotide ribosomal RNA is filed under the name uncultured bacterium. Its description in RNAcentral is "partial 16S ribosomal RNA". It matches the Rfam family "Bacterial small subunit ribosomal RNA", at positions 524 to 776 of the family's 1533-position model. The record is from RNAcentral.